UCUACCAUGCGGGCCGCCGGUUUCCACCACGGAAAUAAUAGGGAAUCCCAGGCCGCCCAGGCGCGCCAAACGGAACUGCCCCCGCAACUGUAAGUGCCGAGCCCGCUCCAUCGAUGCCACUGGAUCAGCCGAUCCGGGAAGGCUGGAGCCGGGUGAUGACGCACCAGUCAGGAGACCUGCCGGCUUACAUUCACCAAC
This 198-nucleotide non-coding RNA is filed under the name Pseudomonas putida. The record is from RNAcentral. RNAcentral also lists the same sequence under 1 other name. Lineage: Bacteria; Pseudomonadati; Pseudomonadota; Gammaproteobacteria; Pseudomonadales; Pseudomonadaceae.